Neoarius graeffei (lesser salmon catfish) is the source of this 1515-nucleotide long non-coding RNA. RefSeq lists it as uncharacterized. The transcript has 3 exons. NCBI's taxonomy places the organism in Eukaryota, Metazoa, Chordata, Actinopteri, Siluriformes, Ariidae. The record is from RefSeq and is a predicted model, not a curated record.
AUGUCUCACAGUGGGAAACAUGGCCUUGUCCCAACUUUUUUGAGAUGUGGUGUUGUCAUGAAAUUUAAAACCACCUAUUGAGUCCACAUCCAGCACUAGUGUGUUUCUGUGGUGUCAGUGUGAUGCUUCCUGCUCACCUGUCUCUGGGAUGUGGUCGUUUUUGAACACUUUCAGCAGAGCCAGUGGUUCUCUUUGGCUCUUUCCUCCUCCAAGUUCAUGCUCAUCUUCAGAGACAUCCUCCUCUCCGAAGAAAGAGUCCUCGAUCUGCUGGGUCGCGUCCAUACAGUCCUGCUGAGGAGACACAGCCAUUCAUCACACACUCUGGACACUUCUGCAGCAACUCCAGCAGGCCUGAGCAGGCCAGGCAAGGACACCAACAUCUCCAGGACACAGAUCGCCAUAUCCAUGGCAACAUCCCAGUGCUAGAGCAGCUCAGAGUUGUUUAUAUGAUCCCAGACCACGCCCCUUUCCCCUCAUCUUCUUUUCUGUAGACACAGGGACCGAAGCAGGCUGGGGUCAAUGUCGGCUCCUGGGAGAGCAUUGCUGAUGACCAGGACGCCUGGAGAGAUCAUCCGAAACAAGGAACUGGCUUUCAAGAGGGUCAGAUGGAAGCAGAGGACAGCUUCUGUUCAAGCUCCCUCAUCCUUCAUGUGUCACAAUAAUGCAAGAGACUGUCACUCCUGAGUGGGCAUCUUCAGCCACCAGGAGCGGCCUGAGUUAACCCGGUGUGGUUCAUCGGCCACCAGGACACGGCCUGAGUUAGCCCAACGUGGUUCACCGGCCACCAGGAGCGGCCUGAGUUAACCCGGUGUGGUCCAUCUCCCAAGUUGGAAGGAUGCCAUGUUCUGUACAUGCUGCUAGUUUUAUUUCUUUGUUGUUUUACCCCAUCCCCUUAAUAUGUUUUAAACAUAUGCUCUAGACCUAUAGUCAUGAUACAUGUAUACAACUGUAAUGCACUAAAAAGUAGUGACAUUAUACUAUGUGCAAUACCGCUGACCCAAUACCAUGAUCAAUAAACACAGAAUACAGUAAACAGGUCGGUCUAUGACUCGUACUGUGUAGCAUAGCCAAGGGGUCUGUGAUUGUUUUUAACAGUGGUGGACAUUACAACCCAGCAUUCUCUCAGGUAUUAUAUUUAUUAUUGAGUUAUUAUAGUCAAUUUGUAAAAGAAAUAGGACAGUGCCAUAUUUGUUCUGCCUACGAGCUAAGGACAGCUUCCAAUGGCAAGUCUAAAAAUUGCAUGUUCAUUGGGUUAUUUUGGCCUAACUCAAGCUGUGUUGCUUUGUAUCCAGACCUUUGAAAGUCUUUCUUUUCCCCCCAGACCUAUUAACGUCUAAACAGCACAUUGUAAAUCUUCCUGCCAGCUGUUUAAGAGUGUCCUACUUUAUAAAUGAACCUGUGUUUGACCAGAGACUGAGCAAAACCUCAGAAGUAAAUCGGCCUGAAGACAAAAGCUGCUUGAUCUCUGAUAUAUUUGCGCCGUUCGUUAUGUUUGUCUUACCGUAUGUGUUUAUU